This 260-nucleotide ribosomal RNA is filed under the name uncultured Atopobium sp. RNAcentral describes it as "partial 16S ribosomal RNA". It matches the Rfam family "Bacterial small subunit ribosomal RNA", at positions 96 to 356 of the family's 1533-position model. The record is from RNAcentral. Lineage: Bacteria; Bacillati; Actinomycetota; Coriobacteriia; Coriobacteriales; Atopobiaceae.
AGGCGAACGGCUGAGUAACACGUGGGCAACCUGCCCUUUGCACUGGGAUAGCCUCGGGAAACCGAGGUUAAUACCGGAUACUCCAUAUUUGUCGCAUGGCGAAUAUGGGAAAGCUCCGGCGGCAAAGGAUGGGCCCGCGGCCUGUUAGCUAGUUGGUGGGGUAGUGGCCUACCAAGGCAAUGAUGGGUAGCCGGGUUGAGAGACCGACCAGCCAGAUUGGGACUGAGACACGGCCCAGACUCCUACGGGAGGCAGCAGCG